GGUCGACUUCUCUCUCUUUCGCCUUAACUUUUUUUUUUUGGCUAUGUCUCUCUUGGCUUCGACGGAGAAUCAUCAUCGGUUGAUCAUGAAACCCGCCGCCGGUUGAGCCUAGAAUCCAAAGCCGGAAGCAUCGUCCUUUCCACUGCCGGCUUCAUCAACGGCGAAAUUGGUGGAAUUUGAGACUUGAAUGUUUUUCUUUUCUGACUUGAAAUCGUAGAAAUUUCGAUGCAGUGAGCUUCUUCAUUCUUCUAUAGAUGUUGGAGAUGGUAGUUAAGGUGGGAAGGAAGUUGAGUUUUGAAUUCAAUGGUAUGAAGUCUUGGAGAAGUCACGUCCUUUAUACUGAAAUUUUGCUCCAACUGCAAAGGUUGAUACUCAGAUACCUAAUGCUGCUGAGCGUCGGAGUCAAACAGAGGACGAUAUAGUUCCAUGUCCGCCAGAUACCUCACCGCCGUCUAUGUUUUCAUCUUCUGGGCUUUCUUCUUAGGCCAAGAGUUUUAAGUUCCCUCAGGAAGAUCCUAACGCUGCAGAUUCUGGUAUGUCAGCAGCUUUCACUAGGUUCACCUCUGAGCUUGGUCUGUAUUUGCCAACAACUAAAGGGCCUGACGAGGUCGGUGAAUCCGCAAGUUGGUGCUGCUGUUGAGUCCCUCACAAAAGCUGUGGUGGAUUCGUCGCGUGGUGCAGUGAAAGCAAUGCAGGUGAAAGCACGGCACAUUGUCUCUCAUAAUAAAAGAAGAUAUCAGGGACUAUACCGCGUCACAUGGAGGAGGUGAUCAAGUUUUUUGAAACUCAUCACAAGGGAUAAUCAUUUCCAAUCUGAUGAACGAGAUCAAAGAGUCACGCCUUCAGGUAUGUCCGUCUAUUAAAGAAAACUACAUAUCACUUAAUGGACUGGGGUAACUGUUUGAGCAUGAUUUAAUAUAUAAAUCCAGCUCAUAAAAGACCCAUUUGAAACAUGCUAAAUUAGUAGUGAAAAUAUAAUCCAUCGACGAAAUCCAGCUAUUCCGGUCCAAAGGGUUACCUUGUAGAUCAAGAUAGCGAACUCUGAGGUCUACGGAUAACAACCAAGACUCACUCACCUUGUUGUCAGUCGGUUAUAUAACAUGCCAAAAUCUCAGGAGCAGGCACAUCACGUGCACCCAAGAUGCGCGAAAUAAUUGUGCGAUAUGAGCAGUACAAAAAACGAGCCAAGACGAUAGUUUCAUUCAUGCUUUUUGAUUUACUCACUUGAGACUUAAAAUACUUUCUUCGAACUGCAUUGUUUUUUGUUGUGUUCUUUGUCAAUAAUAUUAGUCCAAUUUGAACACACUAUUUUAGAAAUCUAUUCAAAGAGA
Long non-coding RNA from Brassica oleracea var. oleracea, 1331 nucleotides. RefSeq lists it as uncharacterized. The record is from RefSeq and is a predicted model, not a curated record. Lineage: Eukaryota; Viridiplantae; Streptophyta; Magnoliopsida; Brassicales; Brassicaceae. The transcript has 4 exons.